GUACCUCGGAGCCUCUCCAGUAAGCUGAUGACAGGCAGAUCUUCCACUCUCUGCCCUGUCAGGUUCUGGAAACUUACCCGUGAACUUAGGUCUUUGGGCAGCAGCAUUAUCUCGAACUUACACAGCGUCCCGAACAAAAGACCUAAGCCAAACUCCACAAAGGGCGGCAGCCCCUCCAUCACACUGAUCCACCCACAGAAUUCUGCCCAGUUACCUUGGAUCCACCAGCCACAACAAGUCUCGCGGUACACACCAAGAUUCCACCUAGAAUCCAACCGGUUUUCUGAGGCCUCAUUCUGUCCUUGGAAGUAAGAGACCACUCUUCGGCAAGUGUCCUGGACUAUGGGCUGGACGUCAGGAAUCUUGGACCCGUUCUUGGAGCAGAGAAUUGAGUACCUUCCUCAAGUGCACGUAGGUGUUCCACAGGUUUCUGCCAUUAUCAGCGAGGCUCAAUAUAUCUCGUGAUUUUCUUUCUUGCCUGGGAUCCUCUGCAGAAGUCUCCAUGCCAGUAUUCUCCAUUGUAGGAGAACAACCAUCAUCAAUGUGUUCGCAUCUCUCCUCAAUCCAUGCAGCCAAAUUUUCUGCCAGGUUCUCUUCAUGUCUCCCAUAAAGUCGACUUCUACAGGACUGGGCAUGUCUAAAAGUACCUCGGAGCCUCACCAGUAAGCUGAUGACAGGCAGAUCUUCCACUGUCUGACUUUUCAAUUUCUAGAAACUGACCCAUGAUCUCAGGCCAGUGGGCAGCAACAGUAUCUCGAACUUACAGAGCUUCCUAAACAAUAGACUUAAGCCAAGCUCCACAGAGUGUGGCAACCCCACCAUGACACUGAUUCACCCACCGAGCUCUGCCAAGUUACCUUGGAUCCACCAGCUCAUAACAAGCCUCAUGGAACAAACCAACAUUCCACCUGGAAUCUAACCAGUAACUGCCAUCCUCAAUUGUUGCUGCAUUUUUACAGUGUUGGUGAAGUGGCUGCAUCAGACGACAGGUAUUUAAGGUUUUCUGAGGCAUCAUUCUGUCUUUGGAAGUAAGAGACCACUCUUUGUCAAGUGUCCUGGACCAUGGGCUGGCCAGCCUUUCUGCCAGCUUCUCUUCGUGUCUCCCAUAAAGUCGACUUCUACAGGACUGGUUUCUAGAAAAUGACCCGUGAUCUCAGGCCAUUGGGCAGCAUCAGUAUCUCGAAAUAACACAUCUUCCUGAAGAAUACACCUAAGCCAAGCUCCACAGAGGGCAGCAGCCCCUCCAUGACACUGAUUCACCCACAGAGCUCUGCCCAGAUACCUUGGAUCCACCAGCCUCAACAAGCCUUGUGGAACACACAACAAUUCCACCUGGAUUCAAACCGGUUUUCUGAGGCCUCAUUCUCUUUUGGAACUAAGGGACCACUCUUCAGCAUGUGUCCUGAACCAAGGGCUUCACGUCAGGAAUCUUGGACCACUUCUUGGAGCAGAGAAUUGAGUACCUUCCUCAAGUAAACGUUGACCCUCCACAGGUUUCUGCUAGUAUCAGUGAGGCUCAACAUGACUCAUGAAAGUCUUUCAAGCCUGGUAUUCUCUAAAGAAGUCUUCAUGCCAGUAUUCUCUAUUGUAGCAGAACAACUCUCAUCAAUGUGUUCGCACGUUUCCUCAAUCUGUGCAGCCAGGUUUUCUGCCAGCUUCUCUUCGUGUCUCCAUUAAAGUCGACUUCUACAGCACUGGGCAAGUCUGAAAGUACCUCACAGCCUCACCGGUAUGCUGAUGAUGGGCAGAUCUUCCACAGUCUGUCUUUUCAGUUUCUUGAAACUGACCCGUGAUCUCAGGCCAUUGGGAAACAGCAGUAUCUCGAACUUACAAAUCUUUCUGAAAUUAGACCUAAGCCAAGCUCCACAGAGGGUGGCAGUCCCUUCAUGACACUGAUCCACCCACAGAGCUCUGUCCAGUUAACUUGGGUCCACCAGCCACAACAAGCCUGGUUGAACACACCAAUAUUCCAUCUGGAAAGCAACCAGUAACUGCCAUCUCUAAUAUUUGCUGCAUCUUUCCAGUGUUGGGGGAGGGGCUGCAUCAGACGAGAGAUUCCUAAGAUAAAAGUGAUUCUCUCCAAUAGCGUCCCAUGGUCCUUUUUUUCCUACCCUCUUUCCUUUAGUUCAGAACUCUAUACACAGUACAAAAUAGGGAAGUGUGUUCAUGUUAAUUUUAUGGUUCCACACAUCUUUAACUUUUCUCACAGUUAAAAGUACAAAAAGACCCCACUAUAGGAAUCUUAUGUUUGUGUAAUAGCCUUUCACCCAGAAUACACAUCCGUCUGUUGCUUUUCGGCUGAAACACCCACAUUCCCAGAAAAUGGAUCCAUUUGAU
Molecule: long non-coding RNA, 2337 nt
Organism: Camelus dromedarius (Arabian camel)
Lineage: Eukaryota; Metazoa; Chordata; Mammalia; Artiodactyla; Camelidae
Exons: 8
Source: RefSeq, a predicted model, not a curated record